CGAUUCCAGUAAAACUGAUCACGAUGUCGAACAACAAGCAGUACUUGCUGAAAGAAGGCUUCACGUACUACAAGAAGAGAAACUCCAAGACCGGCUACACCUGGUGGUGUACUGCCAGGUGUAACUCUUACCUGAACACCAACUUCGACCUGGAGGUGCUGACCGUCGUCGGAACACACAACCAUCGCCCCUCAGUGUUCCAUGAGCUGAAAAACGGCACCUACGUCAAGUACAACAGAUAACACUCACCUGUGGAAAGACGGUAUAUUUCUACGAUGGAUACACAUUUUUCCAUCGAUAUCAUACCAAAUUGGGGCUCAAGUGUUGCUGCACCCGGUUUCCGAAAUGCAAGUCUCACGUAAUCAUUGAUGAUGGACUGAACAUUCAUUACAGUCACAUUGACCACAACCACCAAGCUUCACAACUUUAUAGAACUGCUGAUGGAACUUAUACGAAAAUAAUUAACAAACCUGUACAAAGGACUAUAAAAAAAAACUAUGCCAAUUUUGGCUGAAAGUUUAUAUACUUACUGUAAAAUCGUGUUUAGUAAAUUUCUUAUUCUGAUAAAUACCAGACUGAUUGCGUUAACAUUUGAAUUUUAAAUACUUUUUUAUUGGUAAACAGUGGUGUUGUCGCUAUGCGAUAUCUGUACCUAUUUUACACACACAAUAAGUAUCAGACCGUUUUUAUUGUGUAUAUGGGACUAUAUACGUUUUGUAAAUAAUAAUAAAAAUAUCUUUUGCUCUAAA
Plutella xylostella (diamondback moth) is the source of this 749-nucleotide long non-coding RNA. RefSeq lists it as uncharacterized. Lineage: Eukaryota; Metazoa; Arthropoda; Insecta; Lepidoptera; Plutellidae. The record is from RefSeq and is a predicted model, not a curated record.